RNAcentral lists this ribosomal RNA (294 nucleotides) under uncultured bacterium. Its description in RNAcentral is "partial 16S ribosomal RNA". It matches the Rfam family "Bacterial small subunit ribosomal RNA", at positions 775 to 1067 of the family's 1533-position model. The record is from RNAcentral.
GGAUUAGAUACCCUGGUAGUCCACGCCGUAAACGAUGUGGAGCCGGUGUCGGUGGGUGAUUGCGCCCAUCGGCGCCUAAGCUUACGCGCUGACUCCACCGCCUGGGAACUACGGCCGCAAGGCUAAAACUCAAAGGAAUUGACGGGGGCCCGCACAAGCAGCGGAGCGUGUGGUUUAAUUCGACGCAACACGAAGCACCUCACCCAGGUUGGACAUGCAGCUGCAGGCCGUGGAAACACGGCGGCCUUCGAGGGAGCUGCACCGGUGCUGCAUGGCUGUCGUCAGCUCGUGCCG